AGAGUUUGAUCCUGGCUCAGAACGAACGCUGGCGGCAGGCUUAACACAUGCAAGUCGAACGCUCGUAGCAAUACGGGAGUGGCAGACGGGUGAGUAACGCGUGGGAACAUACCCUCCGGUUCGGAAUAGCUCAGGGAAACUUGGAUUAAUACCGGAUACGGCUGAGAGGCGAAAGAUUUAUCGCCGGAGGAUUGGCCCGCGUUCGAUUAGCUAGUUGGUGAGGUAACGGCUCACCAAGGCGAUGAUCGAUAGCUGGUCUGAGAGGAUGAUCAGCCACAUUGGGACUGAGACACGGCCCAAACUCCUACGGGAGGCAGCAGUGGGGAAUAUUGGACAAUGGGCGCAAGCCUGAUCCAGUCAUGCCGCGUGAGUGAUGACGGCCUUAGGGUUGUAAAGCUCUUUCGCUCGGGACGAUAAUGACGGUACCGAGAUAAGAAGCCCCGGCUAACUUCGUGCCAGCAGCCGCGGUAAUACGAAGGGGGCUAGCGUUGUUCGGAAUUACUGGGCGUAAAGCGCGUGUAGGCGGGUCUUUAAGUCAGGGGUGAAAUGCCAAGGCUCAACCUUGGAACUGCCUUUGAUACUGGAGACCUUGAGUCCGGGAGAGGUGAGUGGAAUUGCGAGUGUAGAGGUGAAAUUCGUAGAUAUUCGCAAGAACACCAGUGGCGAAGGCGGCUCACUGGCCCGGAACUGACGCUGAGACGCGAAAGCGUGGGGAGCAAACAGGAUUAGAUACCCUAGUAGUCC
Molecule: ribosomal RNA, 744 nt
Filed under: uncultured bacterium
Lineage: Bacteria
Description: bacterial SSU rRNA
Rfam family: Bacterial small subunit ribosomal RNA
Source: RNAcentral